CAGCCCUCAUCUCCCCCAUUUUUUUGUCCUCCCCCAAGCUCCACAGAGAGGAGCGAUGAGCCUUCAUCUCGUUGACAGUGAUGGCCAUCUCCAGUCCGAGAAAAGGCUAAAGGAGUACCUGACCACGAUUGUGGCACCCAGCGUCUCGCAGAGCGGCAGCGCGGCGACAGCAGACGACGGCGAUGGCGACAGCGCUCUCGAGGCCAUCGGCGUGAACUACCACGUCGUCGGCGUCUUCGGCGGGCAGAGCAGCGGCAAGUCCACGCUGCUAAAUCAUCUCUUUGGCACAGAUUUUCAGACGCUCAACGAGGCGGUGCGGCGUGGCCAGACGACCAAGGGCGCUUUCAUAGCACGCGCCAACGACGCUCUGGCCGGGUUCGAAGCCAGCGGCGCCUCUGUUGUUGCAGAUCAGCUCGCCUCCGGCGCCGCAGACCACAGCUCUUGCCUCAACCGCGCUGCUGCUGCUGCUGCUGCUGCGACCAAGGACGCUGCAUACGGUGAACAUGGUGCGCCGCACACCGUGCCUCCUCUGCUGGUGCUGGACUUUGAGGGCACCGAUGGACUGGAGCGGGGCGAAGACCAGUGUUUUGAGCGCCAACUCUCGCUCUUCGGGCUGAGCAUCGCUGACACACUCAUCAUUAACAUGUGGGCCGUCGACGUUGGCCGCUUCAACGCCGCUAACCUGAGCCUACUGCGUACUAUUUUCGAGGUCAACCUGCAGCUCUUCAGCCACGAUAAUUACGAAGCGGAGGAGAAGCCGACUUUACUCAUCGUGCUGCGUGACUUCACCGAGGACGACCCGGCGCCGAGCCUCGCCACGGUGCGCAAGUCCUUCGACACGAUUUGGGAGGGCAUCACUCGGCCAGCUCAGUUUGCGGGCGCCAGCAUUGAUGCUCUGUUUCACUUGAAGUACUACGUAAUGCCUCACUACAAGCUGCAGAAGACGGAGUUCAUGCCCUCGGUGGAGACGCUGCGGCGCUGGUUUGGCGACAGCCAGUGCCCCGACUACCUCUUCUCCCACCGCGCCAUGUUUCGCGGCGUGCCGCUCGAGGGGCUACCGGCGUACCUGACGAACUGCUGGGAGGCGAUCCGCACGAGUAAGGACUUGGACAUUCCGACGCAGCGUGAGAUGCUGGCGCAGCAUCGGUGCAAGGAGGCGAAGGUGCAGGAGCUCAAGACGUUCCGCCACUUCGCUCGGCACUACGAGGAUAGGCUGCUUCACGGCGAGAUGCUGCUGCGCUUGUCGGAGGUCCUGGACGAAGAGAUGGAGACCCGCCUGGCCUCUUUUUAUCGGCAGACAAAGCUGUACAACAGCGACGUAGUGGGGCAGUACGCGAAUGAGCUGGAGACGGAGCUGGUGGAUGCCACACUGCGGGUGCUAAACCGACUGUCCAAGGCGAUCGCCGCCGAAGUACUGUCGAACGCCGAGCCGCGCGUGCUGAACAGCGUCGAGGAGAGUCUCCGCCAGCUUCUCAAGUCAGCUCAGACACUGCCAUUCAGCGCCGGCGAGGGCCCCAGCGCCGCAGAGGCUGAGGAGGCGAACGACGUGGAGCGAGACGCAGCGCACCUUGUCGGGGCACAGCGGAUGGACUCGCCUGCGUGCCAGAAGCUUGUUCGGAGUUUCUGGCGCUCUCUCAGCAGCUAUGUCAACGAGGUGGUGGCAGAGGUCGCCGCAAUGCCGCCGCGUGCCCACCUCUACGGCCGCUAUGUCGCCCUCAUCGCCCAGGAUCCCACGACGCGACUCAACGUGCUGAACAUUGUCACGGACGCGCUCUUCCAGAAGGUGAAGUCGCGUGUGGUCUCCAUGGCUGACAGCGCGUGCGACACGAUGCACGCCGGGUUCGAGCGCAGCCUCACUCACAACAGCGACGGCACCGCCCGCUUCUUCGCCACCACCAAGGGGUUGCAGAAGGCCGUGCCUGCAGCUAUGCAGGCGGGCGUGGUAGUCUUGGGAAGCCUCUUCUACUUCCGGCUGAAGCUGGUGGCGGCGGGGGCCGACGACGACGGCAUCGGCGCUGAUGUUGCUGGUACGGCUUUGCCGCAGAGCCGCUCGGCUCGCCGAGUGAGGCACGACCAACACCGAAUCGUGUUCAGCGACAACGACGCCGAGGCGGCCUUCUACCUGAGCUACAGCACCCUCGACACAGCCCCCAAGUACCCCUACGAUGUCCCUGUGACGUCUGCCGACUGCGAAGGAGAAGAGGCGGGUGCCGUAGCGGACUGCAUCUUGCUCAGCCAGCAAGCCAUCGUGCGCGCCUACGAGCUAUAUAGGCAGAAAUGUGACUUCACGACACAGCUGCAGCUGCGAACUGUCGAGGCGGCCAAACAGCGACUUCCUGCCUGGGUCAUUCCGGCCCUCUUCAUUUUGGGUUGGAACGAGUUACUCUACGUGCUCACCUCGCCUGCUCUGCUAGUGCUUGUGGUCGUUAUCUGCGCCGUUUUCUUCAAGCAGUUCUUUGUGUCACAGUGGCACGCGUUUGAGGAGACAGGCCCGGCCAGCGUCGUGAUACCGACGAAGACGGUGAUCCACACGCUCAGCACUCUGGUGCGCUCUCUGCUCGACUAUCGGCCGGGCCCUCGCACGGAGCGCACAGAGCGAAGCCACGAUGCCGCUGCCGCGGCAGAGAAGGAGAUGCCCCAUGUGGUGGCUACAGCUACGCACGUGGACCCGACGCUGGGCAACGCUAACGUGCCAACCGCCCCGUCCACGAUGCGCCACCGCACAAGUCGGAAACUGGACUAGAGGCCCCGUCGCAGCGGCAGGUUUCGCGGAUUGGUGAGACCGAGUAUAUCAGGACGUGCUGUGCAUGUGUGUGUGUGUGCGUGGUCUCUUAUGAGUGCAUUUGACUCUUGUUUCGUCGCUGUCUCUGUGUCCCUCUCGGUGUGUAGGUGCCGAUCGCAUCCCAUCUCAUGUCUUGCGCGGGCCCUGUCCUGUGUGCGCGUGUGCUUGAAGGCGGGGCGAGACGAGUCCAAGAGCGGGGGAGUUGGCGGUGGGCACUUGUGCAUGGCCGCUGUUUACAAUACCGCAGCCGCAUUGUUGUUUUCCCUUCGCUCUUUUUAUGUUUGUGCUGUUAUUGCUGCAAGUGGAUGCCCUUUG
RNAcentral lists this unclassified non-coding RNA (3097 nucleotides) under Leishmania donovani. Its description in RNAcentral is "gene:LdHU3.32.0470(CDS-product:Root_hair_defectiv e_3_GTP-binding_protein_(RHD3)_putative)". The record is from RNAcentral. Lineage: Eukaryota; Euglenozoa; Kinetoplastea; Trypanosomatida; Trypanosomatidae.